RNAcentral lists this long non-coding RNA (285 nucleotides) under Mustela putorius furo (domestic ferret). RNAcentral's name for it is "lncRNA (ENSMPUG00000029228.1)". The record is from RNAcentral. Lineage: Eukaryota; Metazoa; Chordata; Mammalia; Carnivora; Mustelidae.
GGACCACCGAGAACAACCUGCCCAUGGACGGGGUGACUUGCGGCUCACUAAGGUGAUUUAAUGCAGCAUUUUAAAAAAUGAUUUGGAAGAUACGUCCACCAGCAACUGAAUCUGAAACACACUUUCCUUCGUCUGAUGGAAGCACCAACAUCCUGGUCAGCCAUAGAUUUGAGGAAAAUGUCAGAGAAAAGAAAGAGUCUAUCUACUUUAAAGCCACGGUGAAGGGACUGUCAUCAUCUCCCAGGAUCGUAGAGCAGCAACGGCUCAUCCACACCUGGCUCUGCU